This 400-nucleotide long non-coding RNA is filed under the name Paramuricea clavata. The record is from RNAcentral. Lineage: Eukaryota; Metazoa; Cnidaria; Anthozoa; Malacalcyonacea; Plexauridae.
AAUAGACCUUUCCCCUUAUAACCAAAAUUUUGAUCUAGGCAAGUCUAGAAAUAUAUUUUAUCACAGCUUGAAAGAGCAUCACAAAAUUAGUAAUAUUCCAAAGUUUCGUUGCGAAAUGUUGUAAAAUGAGGAAAAUAGAGCCUUGCGAAGCUUGCAAUUUUCAGUCAUUUUGCAUUACAAACGGGAAAUUGCAGCCCCAACACCCGAAUCGUAUGUCAAUUUCCCGUUUGUAAUACAAAAUGACUGAAAAACGGCAAACUUCGCAAGGCUAUAUUAUCCGCAUUUUUCAAGAUUUUGCAACAAAACUUUGGAAUAUUACUAAUUUUGUGAUGCUCUUUCAAGCUGUGAUGAAAUUUUUGUCUAGAUCGAAAUUUUAGUUAUAAGGGGAAAGGUCCAUUCA